UACGAGAGGGGCGAGCGUUACCCGGAUUAAUUGGGCGUAAAGGGUCCGUAGGCGGUAUUUUGUAUGCUUUUGGUAAAAGGCAAGGGCUUAACUCUUGGAAUGCCUUAAGAACAGAUAUACUAGAGUAUAGUAGAGGAUAGUAGAAUUCCAUGUGGAGGGGUGGAAUCCUAAGAUAUAUGGAGGAAUGCCAGUAGCGAAAGCGACUAUCUGGACUAUUACUGACGUUGAGGGACGAAAGCGUAGGGAGCAAACAGG
This 255-nucleotide ribosomal RNA is filed under the name uncultured bacterium. RNAcentral describes it as "partial 16S ribosomal RNA". It matches the Rfam family "Bacterial small subunit ribosomal RNA", at positions 524 to 776 of the family's 1533-position model. The record is from RNAcentral.